Molecule: ribosomal RNA, 253 nt
Filed under: uncultured bacterium
Lineage: Bacteria
Description: partial 16S ribosomal RNA
Rfam family: Bacterial small subunit ribosomal RNA
Source: RNAcentral
UACGGGGGGGGCAAGCGUUGUUCGGAAUUACUGGGCGUAAAGGGCUCGUAGGUGGCCAACUAAGUCAGACGUGAAAUCCCUGGGCUCAACCCAGGAACUGCGUCCGAUACUGGUUGGCUUGAAUCCGGGAGAGGGAUGCGGAAUUCCAGGUGUAGCGGUGAAAUGCGUAGAUAUCUGGAGGAACACCGGUGGCGAAGGCGGCAUCCUGGACCGGCAUUGACGCUGAGGCGCGAAAGCCAGGGGAGCAAACGGG